GCUAGCGGCGAUAGCACGUUGAAGACGUCAGUUCCCGAUGGUUCACUGAAGUUAAGCAACGUUGCCCGAGGUUGUGGUUUCCGGGCGGGUGACAGUCUUGGCAAUCGCGUGCUGCUGAUU
Molecule: ribosomal RNA, 120 nt
Filed under: Diaphorina citri (Asian citrus psyllid)
Lineage: Eukaryota; Metazoa; Arthropoda; Insecta; Hemiptera; Psyllidae
Source: RNAcentral